RNAcentral lists this long non-coding RNA (970 nucleotides) under Homo sapiens (human). RNAcentral's name for it is "PREDICTED lncRNA (TCONS_00142514)". The record is from RNAcentral. Lineage: Eukaryota; Metazoa; Chordata; Mammalia; Primates; Hominidae.
AAAGUGUUAUUUGACUGGAGUGAGGUCUCAUGUCUGCUUAUGCGGUGGCUCGCUGCUCAGAACAGGGAGGAAGAGGGUAAUCUGGAAGAGUUUCCUGACCUACUCUGCUGCUGUGAUUAAACAACCACCAGGAAAUUUUGAUGACACUGUUCUCCUGAGCUCCUCCCUUUCCUCGGGGAAGAAAAGCAUUGAAACUACAAAAAUAAAGUGUUAUUUGGCUGGAGUGAGGUCUCAUGUCUGCUUAUGCGGUGGCUCGCUGCUCAGAACAGGGAACCAUUGGAGAUACUCAUUACUCUUUGAAGGCUUACAGUGGAAUGAAUUCAAAUACGACUUAUUUGAGGAAUUGAAGUUGACUUUAUGGAGCUGAUAAGAAUCUUCUUGGAGAAAAAAAGACUGGAUCUUUCAUUGUAGUACUUCUGAAUUAACCAAAAUCACAGUAUUCUGAAGAUGAUUCUACAAAGCCUGCUGUUUCUACAAAGGCUGCUGAUGAUUUCUACAAAGCCUGCUGUAGUGUUGCUGUGGCCUCUGCUUAAAAAAGUAGAAAACACAUUGAUGCAGCAUGUUCACCCCAACCUCCCUGCCUAAAGGCUCAGGGACCAUCUUGGAAGAGGAAGGCGCGUGAGAUUGUAAGAGCCGAAUUAGGGGGAUGGAGUGUGGAGAAUAAGGACACUUCAUCUUGGAUGCUCACCUGCCAAAUUGACUUCUGAUGAAAGCCAGCUCCAGAAAUGUGCCUACAGUUACUACUUUCACCUAAACCCUGCCCUUAGUCAAAUCCUUCUCUUCUUCUAAGCAAUCAACUUCAAUUCCUUGUAUAACCCACAGUAUAAAAGGGCUUUUAUACCAUUCUAUCCUAUUGCAUGUAAGCCUUGGGUCUGGGAGGUAACAGUGUGGGAUUCCACCAUCUCAUCUCCCUGCCACCCAAACAUGCCUGCUCUUCUUUAAGCAAUAUUAAAUGUUUGUACUUCAGAAA